Molecule: ribosomal RNA, 253 nt
Filed under: uncultured bacterium
Lineage: Bacteria
Description: partial 16S ribosomal RNA
Rfam family: Bacterial small subunit ribosomal RNA
Source: RNAcentral
UACGGGGGGGGCAAGCGUUGUUCGGAAUUACUGGGCGUAAAGGGCGUGUAGGCGGCCAACUAAGUCCGACGUGAAAUCCCCAGGCUCAACCUGGGAACUGCAUCCGAUACUGGAUGGCUUGAAUUCGGGAGAGGGAUGCAGAAUUCCAGGUGUAGCGGUGAAAUGCGUAGAUAUCUGGAGGAAUACCGGUGGCGAAGGCGGCAUCCUGGACCGACAUUGACGCUGAGGAGCGAAAGCCAGGGGAGCAAACGGG